UACGGAGGGGGCUAGCGUUGUUCGGAAUUACUGGGCGUAAAGCGCACGUAGGCGGCUUUGCAAGUUAGAGGUGAAAGCCCGGGGCUCAACUCCGGAAUUGCCUUUAAAACUGCAUCACUAGAAUUGUGGAGAGGUAAGUGGAAUUCCGAGUGUAGAGGUGAAAUUCGUAGAUAUUCGGAAGAACACCAGUGGCGAAGGCGACUUACUGGACACAUAUUGACGCUGAGGUGCGAAAGCGUGGGGAGCAAACAGG
This 253-nucleotide ribosomal RNA is filed under the name uncultured bacterium. Its description in RNAcentral is "partial 16S ribosomal RNA". It matches the Rfam family "Bacterial small subunit ribosomal RNA", at positions 524 to 776 of the family's 1533-position model. The record is from RNAcentral.